AGGGACAUUUAUACCUAUAUCCCAUUAGAGACAUUCUCGAUAGCAGAAUACUCUGAAGUUGGUCACGUUCAAUGAUGAUGUAUCCUUAUAUCUCAUCUGUAUGCCAUACCAGUGUCUCCACACUCUUUGAUUAAGAGGACAACCAACCCAUAUGGCCUACAGCGACCUAUACUCGAUAGAAGCUGCCGUCCUUAUUAACAGCCC
Molecule: long non-coding RNA, 204 nt
Filed under: Elaeis guineensis (African oil palm)
Lineage: Eukaryota; Viridiplantae; Streptophyta; Magnoliopsida; Arecales; Arecaceae
Description: long non-coding RNA (EGUI_LNC074811)
Source: RNAcentral